GCAUUGGUGGUGUAGUGGUUAGCAUGGCUGACUUCUAAGUAGUUGGUCUGGGUUUAAUUCCCAGCCAGUGCU
Non-coding RNA from Mauremys mutica (yellowpond turtle), 72 nucleotides. The record is from the annotation of a RefSeq genome assembly. Lineage: Eukaryota; Metazoa; Chordata; Testudines; Geoemydidae.